Topomyia yanbarensis is the source of this 6810-nucleotide RNA transcript. It is a transcript of the gene named low-density lipoprotein receptor, with no coding region annotated. The record is from RefSeq and is a predicted model, not a curated record. NCBI's taxonomy places the organism in Eukaryota, Metazoa, Arthropoda, Insecta, Diptera, Culicidae. The transcript is spliced from 18 exons.
CGGAGUGUGCCUGGGAUUGGUUAGACAACAGUAGAGUAGGUAAUCAGUUUACUCGUCGUAUCAAACGCACGGAAUGAACCGAUCCAAUAUCAGUAUGUCACUUGAAAUGCGUCGACUCGGUUCGGCUGGUCGUGUCGGUAGCACUAUCGUCGUCGAAAAAUUGCACAAAGUUUAUCCUUCCGCUAUCUUUUAUUGAGCUAUUUAUUUUAUUUGAACUGUAUUUUAAGAGAAGAAAGCGUUAAUUUAUUGAUUGGAGAUAUCUGUCAAGUACCGAGGCUCAUCUCUUUGGAAGAAGAAAAUUUUUCGGUCCAAGUAGGCUCGGCGUGAUAGGACGGAAGCUAGAGACAGACAGCUCUUUUAUCCAGAAAAGUGGCGUGUUGUCGGAAGUAGGUAUUGUGUGUGCGUCGUGAAUCGGUUCUGAAUAGAUAUUGUUCUGGUGUCCAAGUGCGUGUGGUGGAAUUAAUUGUGUAUCGGUCGCUUACAAAAGCACCAGCUCGAUUUCUAUUGGCAGCUAUUUCGUGUGCCCCGCGAGUGUGUUAGUGGUGCAGUAUCGGUGUGUAUUGUUUCUUCACCUAUUUGGGGCCAGCUUCCCGGCCCGACCGCUUCCACGGUCGAUGUGUGUUCAUUUUGCCGAAGGUUUCUUUUGCCCCCCGGUAAAAGAUAAAAUUGACGUAACAUCACUGCAGCAGCGGUUGAUCGUGUAUGUGGUGAAGUAGCUUCGGUAUCGGUGCCCCAGUGUAUAAAUUAUUUAACCUCAAAGUGCGAAAUAUUUGCAGUUCUGCAAUUAAAAUCAAAACAAAUCGGUCUCGUGUUCUGAUGCAGUGGCCGUCGUGGUAAUGUUCAUCCUUUAGAGCGCAUUUCGCGAAGUUUAGUGUUAGUGUUACCUAAAAUUGUGUAUAGUGAAGAUAAAAGUGCGUAAAACCAUGACCCUGUCACUACGUUUGCUAGUGCUCGGGGCACUGUUGUUGGCAUAUAUUGGUCCCCUGGUCAAGGCCACUAAACUUGGUAAAGCCGCUCCGGAUGAUGCGGCCCUGCUCAAAGAGGAUACUCUCCAGAGCAACAUGCUGCCAGAGGAGGAACCGUUGCAUGUUACCAAAGGGCCGAAGAACUCGAUCGGCAAGCCUACCAAGGCUCCACCCUUUUCUGCUGGCAAGGGAACAUCGCCGCUCAUGAAAGGAUCCGGAAAUGAAUUGAACACAACCCUGCAGUGCUCGGAGCGCCAGUUUCACUGCAACGAUGGCCACUGCAUACACGCGAGCUUCAUCUGCGAUGGCGAAGCGGACUGUGCUGACGGAAGCGACGAGGAUCCGCGCGAGUGCAAAAUUACAGAAACCAAUUGUUCCGAUGACAAGUUUCGGUGCAAAAGCGGCCGCUGCAUUCCGAAGCACUGGCAGUGCGAUGGGGAAAACGACUGCACCGACGGUUCCGAUGAGGAUUCGGAAAAGUGCCAGAGCAAGGUGUGCUCGUCGGAGGAGUUCACCUGUCGCAGCGGAACCGGUACCUGCAUUCCGCUAGCGUGGAUGUGCGACCAGAACCGGGACUGUCCGGACGGAUCGGACGAGAUGUCGUGCAAUGAAACCUGCCGCUCGGACGAGUUCACCUGUUCCAACGGACGGUGCAUCCAGAAGAGGUGGCAGUGCGACCGGGAUGACGACUGCGGUGACAACAGCGACGAGAAGGACUGCCAGGCAACGACGUGCGAUCCGUUGAAGCAGUUCGCCUGCUCGGAGAAUUACUGUAUCACGGCCAAGUGGCGCUGCGACGGUGAACCGGACUGUCCGGAUGGAUCGGAUGAGCGGGGCUGCACCAAUCCCACUCCGCCAACGGUGAACCCGUGUCUCUCGUUGGAAUACCAGUGCAACGAUCGGAUAACCUGCAUCCACAAGAGCUGGAUCUGCGAUGGCGAGAAGGACUGCCCCCAGGGAGAUGAUGAAAUGCCACCGAUUUGUCAGAACGUCACCUGCCGGGCGGAUCAGUUCCAGUGCAAGAAGGACAAAACCUGUAUCAAUGGGCGUUUCCACUGCAACGGGAAGUCGGACUGCUCCGACGGAAGUGACGAGCUGGAGUGCGCGAAUCGACCGGUAGUUAAAUGUAAUUCGAAGACAGAGUUCGACUGCGGUGGUGGAAUGUGUAUUCCGCUGUCCAAAGUGUGCGAUAAGAAGGCAGAUUGUCCGGAGUUCCAGGAUGAACCAAGCGAUAAGUGCGGGAAAAACGAGUGCUUGCAGAAUAAUGGCGGAUGUUCUCACGUAUGCGUGGAUACGCCCGCUGGAUACUACUGUGACUGUAAGCCUGGUUACAAACUGGUGGACAACCGAACCUGUGAGGACAUCGACGAAUGUCAGGAGGCCGGUUCCUGUUCCCAAAAGUGUACCAACGAGAUCGGAACGUUCAAGUGCGAAUGUAUUGCUGGAUAUUUGAGAGAUCCGCGGGACCACACCAAGUGUAAGGCUACCGAAGGACACGCGUCGCUUCUGUUUGCUAGAAGACACGACAUCCGAAAGAUUUCGUUGGACCAUCGCGAGAUGACGUCGAUCGUGAACGAUACCAAGUCGGCGACGGCGCUGGAUUUCGUCUUCCGUACCGGGAUGAUCUACUGGAGUGAUGUUUCCGAGCAGCGAGUUUACAAGGCACCGAUUGAUGAGGGAUCAGACAAAACGGUAGUAGUGAAAGAUCAAACUGUUACUUCGGACGGGCUGGCGGUUGACUGGAUCUAUAACCACAUCUACUUUACCGACAUCAAGAAAUCGACCAUUGAGCUGACGAACUUCGACGGCAACAUGGGAAAGAUUUUAAUCAAAGACGAUUUGGAGAUCCCUCGGGCGAUUGCUCUGGAUCCAAUUGAAGGAUGGAUGUACUGGACCGACUGGGGAACUAGCCCACGCAUCGAACGUGCCGGUAUGGAUGGAACUCACCGACAGGUCAUUGUCAACUACGAAGUUAAGUGGCCCAACGGAAUCACGUUGGAUUUGGUGCGGAAGCGUGUCUAUUGGGUUGAUGCCAAGUUGAAUGUUAUCUCGUCGUGCAACUACGAUGGAACGCAGCGAACGGUUGUUCUCUACUCGGCCGACUAUCUUCGGCAUCCGUUUUCGAUCACAACCUUCGAGGAUUACGUAUACUGGACCGAUUGGGACAAAGAAGCAGUGUUCAAGGCAAACAAGUUCAACGGAAAGGACAUUGAGCCGGUGACGGCCAUGCAUAUGCUGCAGCAUCCAAUGACUAUCCACGUCUAUCAUCCAUACCGUCAACCGGACGGUACCAACCACUGUCAGGCGGUCAAUGGGCAUUGCUCGCAUCUCUGUCUGCCGGCACCGCAAAUUAACAACCGAAGUCCGAAAAUAUCCUGCGCUUGUCCCACUGGUCUGAAGCUGAUGGACGAUGGACUCAUGUGUGUGGAAGACGCGCGUGCAACCACGAGGGGUCCACCAACGCAUGCCAUUCUGCCUCACAAACCCGGAACGAAUGCAACCAAAGACAACAAACAAAUCGAACAUCACUCCAGUAACAUUUACGAAAGCAGCAAGGAUAUCAUAUCAGCCUCCUCGACGGUCGACCCGUCCACGUCUUCCUCCUCGUCGUCGUCGUCGUCAUCUGCCUCUUCCCUUCCCACUGGGACGCAAGGGACCACCAACUCACCCGCUUUCACCUCAUCGCACGCUUCGCUUGCUAACAGCUUGCACAUUGCGGCCAUCUGCAGGAACCUAACACAGAUCAGCACCCUGCUGGUCAACCUCAAAUCCAUUCAAACGGUCAACAAAACCGCACUGCAUCGAUCGUACUUCAAUCGUCGCUUUUCAUGGCAGUCUACGUCGACACCGUUGCCGCCACCGCAAACUACUCAUGGACCCGCCGCCGACGAUAUAACGCUGCUACUGCUGCUCAAAGAUCACUUCGAUGAGUACUUGGAUGAGACAGACUCGACGACGACGACAACGCCGAUAGAACCAACCGCAGAACCGUCGACUUUGGACCAAGACCAAACUCAAGACCAGCAACGGACCGAGUACCGGUACUGGGAGUACCGGAAACGGUUCAACAUGCUGGAAACUUUGUUCAUGCACCGGGUGGACGACAUCGGCGGACCGGACGGGGGUAACCGGGACAUUUACGGUAACGAGCUGCAGGCGUCCUACGAGUACGUGCGGUGGCUUUGCCGGAAGUAUCAAGCUACCAUGCGAAACGGUACCGACGGAACCAUCAUCCAACCGGGUGUGGUGGAAAACGACUCCGGAGUGGUGGCCGCACUCGUUAUCGCUAUCUGCGCUGGCAUUGCCUUUGUCAUCUUUGGAAUUGCCUAUUGUGUGUACCGACACUACGUGCACCGAAACUCGACCUCGAUGAACUUUGACAAUCCGGUGUACCGGAAGACCACCGAGGACCAGUUCAGCCUGGAGAAGAACCUGCCGAACCGCAUGUACCCCAGCACGGUGGGCGAAGAGAUAAAUGCGUUCCAUUGCCGUACGUAAGCGCCAAAGCACACUACUAACAAAAAACGGUGGCUAGAAAGUCCAACUGUCAAUCGCACAGGCCCAGGAACCGCUAAACAGACCAACCACAAACGAUUUUGUCUAGUCGUAGCACGAGUGGUACGGAACAAAAUAGAAAUGAACAAAUCAGUCAACAACAACAACUAACUACUAAUACUACUACUACUACAACCACCACCAAAUCGAGAGAAAGACUUGUGUAUUUCUUCACAGAGUAAAAAAACAAAAACAAACAAACAACUAAGCCAAGAUACAAGUAGAUACAAAUGAAACCUAGCUUUCUUAAAGUGACAGACACCGGUUCGAUAUGGUGAGAAGUAUGAAGCAGCUAUUAUCAGUCCAUCCCCCAACUGUCAACUGCAUGCAUUACUUAAACACUCAACACGAUGGCAGACUAGAUUGAAACUGAUUGAUUUAGCGAGGCAGCUGGAAAUAGUCUUAAUUGUAGACAGUGUUGAACUGUCUAGUAGGCCUUGUUAGGGUUUGUUAAAUUGUUUUAUUAAUUUUUUUUUCAUUUAGGUCUUAUGGUGUAAAGCCUAUUUUCUAUUGUUUUAUUGUUGUUGCAUGAGCAUGUGUGUUGUUUUCGUAGACGAAUUGUAUAGGUAAAGGGUGGCUGCAGUUUAAACUACCAACCCUGUAGCAGGUCUUAAAGUUUACUAUUAAACCGAAUCCGUUCGGUUAGCUUUUUUUUCGUUGAAACUUUUAACAACAUGUGCUGUAUCGAAUCACAAAGACACGUGAUAUAUAUAUACAAAACAGAUAAGCACAACUUGUCCCAUUUUUUUUUUCAUUGUUCAUCCGGCCUCAGACAUAGUAGCAGCAGAUUCCGAAGAAAAGUGUUAGGCCAAGCAACGUAAAAUUUAUUGUAAAAAAGAUGAAUAUUAGCAGAAAAAGUGUUUAAUUAGACUAGAAUAGCAGAUACAACGCAGUGGUGUAGAUAUUAUUUUGUUCUAUUUUCAAAGGAAAUCGUUAAAUAAAAAAAAUAAAAGAAACUAUUCCAGCGAAAUCAUGAAAAUUUUGUCAUUUUAGUAGAUAAAUUUUAAAUCACAUUCAACUAGCGAAAGUCGUUGAUCGCAGUUUAGCAGCACAACUAGUUAUGUUGAACCACGUAAACCCCUGCAGUUUUGUACAAGUUUGUAGAGCAAAGCAUUGCAACAUCCAGUUCAGUUUCAGCCGAAGCCCCGAUAUAAGGCAAUAAUUGUUGAUUGCCCUGAUGCUUCCAAACAGAACAAACACUCCUCAAACUUAAAGCAUCACUUUCAUACCUAAAGUUUACUUGAUCGUUUCCCGCAAUCAUUAUGCUCAUCGAAACGGUAUUUGCUCAAAAUAUUUACUCCUAGCAGCAAGCGUUUUUCGUCGUUCCAUUGAAAAGUAGACGAUUUUAAUAGGAAAGAGUCAUUAGGCUCUAACAGGCACAAAGACCCUCUGAGUAAUUCUUGCCAAAUUUAGCGACUAGAAACGUUAGCCAAUUUUAUUGACGAUAACUUUAUUUUCUUAAACUAAGGCAAAUAAACAAAUUACUUUCCUUCCAAAAAAAAAAAGUAAAAACAAAUGAAAACUUUUUAGAAAUGUUUUAAGCAGGUUAAAUCAAGCGAAAAAAUAUUAUCCCAUCCUAUCCCAAAAUAAAAGGAAAUUCCUGCCAAAAAGCGACACGAAUAACUGAGUGAUCGAUUCAGUGGAAUAUUCAAUUAAAACCAACUCGAAUCGCACUAAAACUAAAUUCGAAAAUAAACAUUGAACAUUACCAGAACUGGUCUCAUGAGGUUCGAAAAUAAAUUGAACAAAUGUUCUGUAGUUUCGAUUGAUGGAGGAGAGAAGCUAUACUCAAAUACAAAAUCACACUAAAACAAACAUCGGAAAACAAUUUGACAUGAGCAUCACACAAACACACUCUCGCAAAGACAGAGUAAUUCAAGAAAAAAAAAAGCAAAAUAACAUCAUCUUUUUUGAUAUUUUGUACAUACAAUCGACCUAUACCCCAAAUGAGAUCGAAGAAAAACUAACAAAAAUUCAUACUCGAGUACUCUUUAAAAAAAACAAAUAACGUAAAUAAAACAAAUUAUAUACAUUAACAGGGGGAAAAGCCAACAAGUUAUAGUUUAUGCCGUGUCCCACAGAAGAAGAACAGCAAAAAAAAUCCGGUCAACAGCACAAUGCGACAAAGACCGCGGCAGAGUAGUAAACAGGAUGCAACAAAUGAGAUGGAACUUAUUGUUUUUGUUUUGUAUAUAUUGAGGUGACACGACACACAAAGAAAACAAACUGUAAGCGGCAGAUGCAAAUGAUACAAGUAAAUAAAAAGGAAACGUAAUGUACUGUAAUAAAA